This 407-nucleotide ribosomal RNA is filed under the name uncultured bacterium. RNAcentral's name for it is "partial 16S ribosomal RNA". It matches the Rfam family "Bacterial small subunit ribosomal RNA", at positions 30 to 526 of the family's 1533-position model. The record is from RNAcentral.
AUUGAACGCUGGCGGCAGGCCUAACACAUGCAAGUCGAGCGGAGCGGCGGACGGGUGAGUAAUUCCUAGGAAUCUGCCUGGUAGUGAGGCAUAACGUCCGGAACCGGGCGCUAUUCCCGCCUCAUAUCAGCUGAGCCUUGGGCGGAUUGGCUAGUUGGUGGGGGAAAGGCCUACCAAGGCGACGAUCCGUAACUGGUCUGAGAGGAGGAUCAGUCACACUGGAACGGAGACACGGUCCAGACUCCUACGGGAGGCAGCAGUGGGGAAUAUUGGACAAUGGGCGAAAGCCUGAUGGAGCCAUGCCGCGUGAGUGAAGAAGGUAUUCGGAUUGUAAAGCACUUUAAGUUGGGAGGCGUUACCAACAGAAUAAGCAACGGCUAACUGCGUGCCAGCCGCCGCGGUAAUAC